Molecule: ribosomal RNA, 1349 nt
Filed under: metagenome
Description: bacterial LSU rRNA
Rfam family: Bacterial large subunit ribosomal RNA
Source: RNAcentral
UGAGUACGAGCUGCUACGGCAGCGAAGUGGGUGAUGUCAUGCUUCCAAGAAAAGCCCUAUACCCGUUAAGGCAUGAUGGCCUGUACCCGAAACCGACACAGGUGGGGUGGUAGAGAAUACCGAGGGGCGCGAGGUAACUCUCUCUAAGGAACUCGGCAAAAUGGCCCCGUAACUUCGGGAGAAGGGGUGCCACCGCAAGGUGGUCGCAGUGAAGAGGCCCAGGCGACUGUUUACCAAAAACACAGGUCUCCGCUAAGUCGCAAGACGAUGUAUGGGGGCUGACGCCUGCCCAGUGCCGGAAGGUUAAGGAAGCUGGUCAGCGUAAGCGAAGCUAGCGACUGAAGCCCCGGUGAACGGCGGCCGUAACUAUAACGGUCCUAAGGUAGCGAAAUUCCUUGUCGGGUAAGUUCCGACCCGCACGAAAGGCGUAACGAUCUGGGCGCUGUCUCGGAGAGAGGCUCGGCGAAAUAGAAUUGUCUGUGAAGAUGCGGACUACGUGCACCCGGACAGAAAGACCCUAUGAAGCUUUACUGUAGCUUGGUAUUGUGCUCGGGCUCGGAAUGCGCAGGAUAGGUGGGAGGCUAUGAACCAUUGCUUGCGGGUGAUGGUGAGCCACUGGUGAGAUACCACUCUUUCCGAGCUAGAGUUCUAACAGCCACCCGUUAUCCGGGGGCUGGACAGUAUCAGGUGGGCAGUUUGACUGGGGCGGUCGCCUCCUAAAAGGUAACGGAGGCGCGCAAAGGUUUGCUCAGGCUGGUUGGAAAUCAGCCGACGAGUGUAAAAGCAGAAGCAAGCUUGACUGUGAGACCUACAAGUCGAACAGGGAGGAAACUCGGCUUUAGUGAUCCGACGGUUCUGCGUGGAAGGGCCGUCGCUCAACGGAUAAAAGUUACUCUAGGGGUAACAGGCUGAUCUCCCCCAAGAGUUCACAUCGACGGGGAGGUUUGGCACCUCGAUGUCGGCUCAUCGCAACCUGGGGCUGAAGUCGGUCCCAAGGGUUGGGCUGUUCGCCCAUUAAAGCGGUACGCGAGCUGGGUUCAGAACGUCGUGAGACAGUUCGGUCCAUAUCCGGUGCAUGCGCAGGAAUAUUGAGAGGAUUUCUCCCUAGUACGAGAGGACCGGGAGGAACGCACCUCUGGUGUACCAGUUAUCGUGCCAACGGUAAACGCUGGGUAGCCAUGUGCGGAGAGGAUAACCGCUGAAAGCAUCUAAGUGGGAAGCCCACCUCAAGAUGAGUAUUCCCAUGAGGUAACCCAGUAAGGUCACGGGAAGAACACCCGUUGAUAGGCUCUACGUGGAAGCGCAGUAAUGUGUGAAGCGGAGGAGUACUAAUAGACCGAGGGCUUGAC